CGGGACACGUGGUAUCCUGUCUGAAUAUGGGGGGACCAUCCUCCAAGGCUAAAUACUCCUGACUGACCGAUAGUGAACCAGUACCGUGAGGGAAAGGCGAAAAGAACCCCGGCGAGGGGAGUGAAAAAGAACCUGAAACCGUGUACGUACAAGCAGUGGGAGCACGCUUAGGCGUGUGACUGCGUACCUUUUGUAUAAUGGGUCAGCGACUUAUAUUCUGUAGCAAGGUUAACCGAAUAGGGGAGCCGAAGGGAAACCGAGUCUUAACUGGGCGUUAAGUUGCAGGGUAUAGACCCGAAACCCGGUGAUCUAGCCAUGGGCAGGUUGAAGGUUGGGUAACACUAACUGGAGGACCGAACCGACUAAUGUUGAAAAAUUAGCGGAUGACUUGUGGCUGGGGGUGAAAGGCCAAUCAAACCGGGAGAUAGCUGGUUCUCCCCGAAAGCUAUUUAGGUAGCGCCUCGUGAAUUCAUCUCCGGGGGUAGAGCACUGUUUCGGCAAGGGGGUCAUCCCGACUUACCAACCCGAUGCAAACUGCGAAUACCGGAGAAUGUUAUCACGGGAGACACACGGCGGGUGCUAACGUCCGUCGUGAAGAGGGAAACAACCCAGACCGCCAGCUAAGGUCCCAAAGUCAUGGUUAAGUGGGAAACGAUGUGGGAAGGCCCAGACAGCCAGGAUGUUGGCUUAGAAGCAGCCAUCAUUUAAAGAAAGCGUAAUAGCUCACUGGUCGAGUCGGCCUGCGCGGAAGAUGUAACGGGGCUAAACCAUGCACCGAAGCUGCGGCAGCGACGCUGAUGCGUUGUUGGGUAGGGGAGCGUUCUGUAAGCCUGUGAAGGUGUGCUGUGAGGCAUGCUGGAGGUAUCAGAAGUGCGAAUGCUGACAUAAGUAACGAUAAAGCGGGUGAAAAGCCCGCUCGCCGGAAGACCAAGGGUUCCUGUCCAACGUUAAUCGGGGCAGGGUGAGUCGACCCCUAAGGCGAGGCCGAAAGGCGUAGUCGAUGGGAAACAGGUUAAUAUUCCUGUACUUGGUGUUACUGCGAAGGGGGGACGGAGAAGGCUAUGUUGGCCGGGCGACGGUUGUCCCGGUUUAAGCGUGUAGGCUGGUUUUCCAGGCAAAUCCGGAAAAUCAAGGCUGAGGCGUGAUGACGAGGCACUACGGUGCUGAAGCAACAAAUGCCCUGCUUCCAGGAAAAGCCUCUAAGCAUCAGGUAACAUCAAAUCGUACCCCAAACCGACACAGGUGGUCAGGUAGAGAAUACCAAGGCGCUUGAGAGAACUCGGGUGAAGGAACUAGGCAAAAUGGUGCCGUAACUUCGGGAGAAGGCACGCUGAUAUGUAGGUGAAGCGACUUGCUCGUGGAGCUGAAAUCAGUCGAAGAUACCAGCUGGCUGCAACUGUUUAUUAAAAACACAGCACUGUGCAAACACGAAAGUGGACGUAUACGGUGUGACGCCUGCCCGGUGCCGGAAGGU
Molecule: ribosomal RNA, 1474 nt
Filed under: Escherichia coli
Lineage: Bacteria; Pseudomonadati; Pseudomonadota; Gammaproteobacteria; Enterobacterales; Enterobacteriaceae
Description: partial 23S ribosomal RNA
Rfam family: Bacterial large subunit ribosomal RNA
Source: RNAcentral